This 253-nucleotide ribosomal RNA is filed under the name uncultured bacterium. RNAcentral describes it as "partial 16S ribosomal RNA". It matches the Rfam family "Bacterial small subunit ribosomal RNA", at positions 524 to 776 of the family's 1533-position model. The record is from RNAcentral.
UACGCAGGGGGCUAGCGUUGUUCGGAAUCACUGGGCGUAAAGGGCGCGUAGGCGGCUUUAUAAGUCGGGGGUGAAAGCCUGUGGCUCAACCACAGAAUUGCCUUCGAUACUGAGAGUCUCGAGUCCGGGAGAGGUGAGUGGAACUGCGAGUGUAGAGGUGAAAUUCGUAGAUAUUCGCAAGAACACCAGUGGCGAAGGCGGCUCACUGGCCCGGUACUGACGCUGAGGUGCGAAAGCGUGGGGAGCAAACAGG